RNAcentral lists this transfer RNA (71 nucleotides) under Ipomoea nil (Japanese morning glory). It matches the Rfam family "tRNA". From Rfam's summary of the family: Transfer RNA (tRNA) molecules are approximately 80 nucleotides in length. Their secondary structure includes four short double-helical elements and three loops (D, anti-codon, and T loops). The record is from Rfam by way of RNAcentral. Lineage: Eukaryota; Viridiplantae; Streptophyta; Magnoliopsida; Solanales; Convolvulaceae.
UCCGUUGUAGUCUAGUUGGUUAGGAUACUCGGCUCUCACCGAGAGACCCGGGUUCAAUCCCGGCAACGGAA